CCCAAGAUGGCGGCGUCCAGUCCUCGGAGUCGCGGCUGCUGGUGCGACAGAGAAUCGCCGUGGGAGCUGCUCUGUGACCCAGAACUCUGUGGAUUUCCGCAGAUGGUGGAAUUGCCUCUCUGUCCAUGUGCUGAGCUCCAGCUGCAGGGACUGUCAGACAUUGUUGGCUAUGGUGGACUUGCCUCUCUGUCCGUGUGCUGAGCUCAGGCUGCAGGGACUGUCAGGCUGUGAGUUCAUGCUGUUCCCCCCUGGAGAGGGGCAGGAGAAAGGCCCUGUGGGCAAAGGGAGCUCCCUGUGUCCCCAGGGCCCUGCAGGGGACAGGAUGGACACUCUGGGGUCACACCUGUGUUAGUAUUUAGGGGCCAGCAUGAAGAUUUUUGGGGUAAAAAUGAGGGAAUCAGCAGUGGAGGGGUGGGAAAAAUAUUGGCCCUAAAUCUUGAGGUGGUCUGGAGAGGCCAGGAAAUAUUUGGGAGGGAAAUCUGUUGUUCCCUUGUGCUGUGCUC
This is a long non-coding RNA of Pseudopipra pipra, 503 nucleotides long. RefSeq lists it as uncharacterized. NCBI's taxonomy places the organism in Eukaryota, Metazoa, Chordata, Aves, Passeriformes, Pipridae. The record is from RefSeq and is a predicted model, not a curated record. The transcript has 4 exons.